UCUGAGGAUACUUCCAACAUUCCUAGGGAAUAUACACAUGUUAUUUCUGGCAUGCUAAUGUCCUCAGAGAAAAUUUGCCAGUCUUGAUUCACUAAUACAGGCAUUCAGUACCCAUGUCAAUGUUCGGGUCAGAAACAUGU
Ochotona princeps (American pika) is the source of this 140-nucleotide small nucleolar RNA. The record is from Ensembl. Lineage: Eukaryota; Metazoa; Chordata; Mammalia; Lagomorpha; Ochotonidae.